Molecule: transfer RNA, 78 nt
Filed under: Nitrososphaerota archaeon
Lineage: Archaea; Thermoproteati; Nitrososphaerota
Also listed under: 2 other names
Description: Thaumarchaeota archaeon tRNA-Arg
Rfam family: tRNA
About the family: Transfer RNA (tRNA) molecules are approximately 80 nucleotides in length. Their secondary structure includes four short double-helical elements and three loops (D, anti-codon, and T loops). Further hydrogen bonds mediate the characteristic L-shaped molecular structure. tRNAs have two regions of fundamental functional importance: the anti-codon, which is responsible for specific mRNA codon recognition, and the 3' end, to which the tRNAs corresponding amino acid is attached (by aminoacyl-tRNA synthetases). tRNAs cope with the degeneracy of the genetic code in two manners: having more than one tRNA (with a specific anti-codon) for a particular amino acid; and 'wobble' base-pairing, i.e. permitting non-standard base-pairing at the 3rd anti-codon position.
Source: RNAcentral
GGGCCCGUGGCCUAGCUUGGAUAUGGCGCAGGCCUGCGGAGCCUGAGGUCCCGGGUUCGAGUCCCGGCGGGCCCGCCA